AUGCUGACCUGGCAGGGGAGAUACCAUGAUCACAAAGAUGGUUUUCCCAGGGUGAGGCCCAUCCAUUGCACUCAGAAUGUGCAGACCCCUGCAAUUUUCCCAAAGGUGGGAAGCUUAUAAUGGCAUCAUUUGCAGUACUGGGGGACUCUCCAU
This 153-nucleotide small nuclear RNA is filed under the name Castor canadensis (American beaver). Its description in RNAcentral is "U1 spliceosomal RNA (ENSCCNG00000000893.1)". It matches the Rfam family "U1 spliceosomal RNA". Rfam says of the family: U1 is a small nuclear RNA (snRNA) component of the spliceosome (involved in pre-mRNA splicing). Its 5' end forms complementary base pairs with the 5' splice junction, thus defining the 5' donor site of an intron. There are significant differences in sequence and secondary structure between metazoan and yeast U1 snRNAs, the latter being much longer (568 nucleotides as compared to 164 nucleotides in human). Lineage: Eukaryota; Metazoa; Chordata; Mammalia; Rodentia; Castoridae. The record is from Rfam by way of RNAcentral.